ACUCUUUGGGCUGCUAUUAACCACCACACCUUCCACCAAAGGAGAGGGCAAAAUCCCAAAGGAAGACAAGCAAUUUGAUGCAGAUGGAGAUGAUGAUGAUGGUGACGAUGACGAUGAUGGAGAUGGUGGUUUCGGAGAGGGUGAAGAUGACUUGUCAUCUGAAGACGGAGGUGGAUACGGCAACAAUUCCUCCAACAACAAGAGCAAUGCAAAGAAGGCUCCUGAAGGUGGUGCUGCUGGUGGGGCAGAAGAGAAUGGAGAAGAGGAUGACGAAGGCGACGACCAAGACGAUGAUGAUGAGGAAGAGGAUGAAGACGAUGAUGAAGAGGAUGAGGGUGGAGAAGACGAAGAUGAAGGCGGAGAAGAGGACGAGGAUGGUGUCGAUGAGGAAGAUAAUGAAGAUGAGGAAGAAGAUGAAGACGAGGAAGCUUUGCAGCCACCAAAGAAAAGGAAGAAGUAAAUUUAGCUUAGCAAUCUAGCCUCCAAUUUGUGUUGUUGUGUACGAAUUUGGGUCCUAACUUCCAUGUUUUUUUAUUUAGUACUCCCAUGUUUUUAUGUAGUUUAUAAGGAGGCCUAUGUAGGACAUGUUUUAAUUGAUAUGUGUUUCCCAUUGCGUAAUUAGAAUGCUACAUUAUAUUGAGCGGGCAUUGUUAAAUUUAACAGGAAAAAAUUGUGAUAUUAGUUUUUAUCACCUACAUUGACCC
This 704-nucleotide long non-coding RNA is filed under the name Lupinus angustifolius (narrow-leaved blue lupine). Its description in RNAcentral is "long non-coding RNA (LANG_LNC000155)". Lineage: Eukaryota; Viridiplantae; Streptophyta; Magnoliopsida; Fabales; Fabaceae. The record is from RNAcentral.